CCAUGAAGACUGGAAUUGCUGUAAUGGCAGGUCAGCAUACUGCCGUGAAUACGUUCCCGGGCCUUGUACACACCGCCCGUCACACCAUGAGAGUUGGGAAUACCCGAAGCCUGUGAGCUAACUUAUAGAGGCAGCAGUCGAAGGUAGAAUCAAUGAUUGGGGUGAAGUCGUAACAAGGUACC
Molecule: ribosomal RNA, 182 nt
Filed under: uncultured bacterium
Lineage: Bacteria
Description: partial 16S ribosomal RNA
Rfam family: Bacterial small subunit ribosomal RNA
Source: RNAcentral